Molecule: non-coding RNA, 135 nt
Organism: Triticum aestivum (bread wheat)
Lineage: Eukaryota; Viridiplantae; Streptophyta; Magnoliopsida; Poales; Poaceae
Source: Rfam
AUUGUACUCCCUCUGUCCCAAAUUUUUUAUCUUAGAUUUGUCUAAAUACGGAUGUAUCUAGUUACAUUUUAGUGUUAGAUACAUCCGUAUCUAAACAAAUGUAAGACAAAAAUUUUGGGACAAAGGGAGUAUCUU